GAUGAACGCUGGCGGCGUGCCUAAUACAUGCAAGUCGAGCGAACGGACGAGAAGCUUGCUUUUCUGAUGUUAGCGGCGGACGGGUGAGUAACACGUGGAUAACCUACCUAUAAGACUGGGAUAACUUCGGGAAACCGGAGCUAAUACCGGAUAAUAUUUUGAACCGCAUGGUUCAAAAGUGAAAGACGGUCUUGCUGUCACUUAUAGAUGGAUCCGCGCUGCAUUAGCUAGUUGGUAAGGUAACGGCUUACCAAGGCAACGAUGCAUAGCCGACCUGAGAGGGUGAUCGGCCACACUGGAACUGAGACACGGUCCAGACUCCUACGGGAGGCAGCAGUAGGGAAUCUUCCGCAAUGGGCGAAAGCCUGACGGAGCAACGCCGCGUGAGUGAUGAAGGUCUUCGGAUCGUAAAACUCUGUUAUUCGGGAAGAAAAUAUGUGUAAGUAACUGUGCACAUCUUGACGGUACCUGAUCAGAAAGCCCCGGCUAACUACGUG
This 497-nucleotide ribosomal RNA is filed under the name uncultured bacterium. RNAcentral's name for it is "partial 16S ribosomal RNA". It matches the Rfam family "Bacterial small subunit ribosomal RNA", at positions 28 to 507 of the family's 1533-position model. The record is from RNAcentral.